This 1152-nucleotide long non-coding RNA is filed under the name Homo sapiens (human). RNAcentral describes it as "HSALNT0160299". The record is from RNAcentral. Lineage: Eukaryota; Metazoa; Chordata; Mammalia; Primates; Hominidae.
CUCACUUCAGAAGUAUUUUUGUUUGAAAGAUGAGAGGAAAAGCUUCAAUUGAGAUUCAGUCCUAUUACUCCAAUUUUAAGCCUCUCAUGUUGCUGAGGCUGAGCAGGUAAAUGUGAAAUUUUUAAGGAUGAAAGGGUCUUGAGAGUUAAUAGAAUGUGUCUUCUACAUAAUAGGCAUUCAGCUUACAUGUGAUAAAUGGAUUCAAAGAAUGGAUAAAUAUAGUUGGGAAGUUCAAUAUCUUAAAAAACUGCUAUAAAUAAAGCACUUAUAUUUGCUACUUUAUUUUCCUAAUAACAAAACUACACUAAAAUGAUUAAUCUGUAAUUAUUGACAUAUAUAUAAUAAAUCUAGAUAUAAUAAAAAUAUGUUUCUAAUAAAAUGUACAUGUAAAUCAACAAGCACAGAUAAAAAGUUUCUCUUCUGAAAAUGCUAAAAGUUCACAGAAUAUACUAAUCCACAAAAAAUAAAAAUUAAAAUAUAGAAAGUGAAAAAUUAUUUUAAUCUGUGCAAAAUUCAUAUUCCUGCUCUUCCCCAAAAUUAUUUCAUUAAUAAUAAACUUUUACUAAUAACAUUGUACUUGUUCAAUGCAGAAAUCAAAGAUAAUAAAAAGGAAAAACAUUUUAUAUUAAAACAAAUGCCCUCAAAUAACAAAUUUUAUCAUAUUUCGUACAUAAUUUCAGAUAACACAAGACCAUCAUCUGUAUGUAUAAACAAACUGAACUUUACCCUUACUUGGUACACCAAAAUACAUUUUCAAAUGUCAACAUACUUCUGUAUAUGUUUCUACAUUCAGUGGUCACAUUUUAUCCCACGCUGUAAAUUCACUGAAAUGUAUUUAUAAAAGCCAUUGUAUGGAUUCUUCUUAAUACACUGAUAUUUUAAGCAGCGCUCAAAAAAGAAAUUGUGUGUAUGUUUCCUUAUUUUCUAAAAAUAUCUUAAUGUAAUAGAAUUGAUCACCAACAGGCAUAUACAAUUUUUUAAAUAUGGUACUUACCACCAAAUUGUCUAUUUGAAAAGUCAUCUGCAACUUAAACUUUAAGCAGCAGUAUAAAUAUCACUGCUCUUUAUCCUCAUAAACUUUGUGGAUAGAAAACAGUAUUUGAUUCCUGUUUUAACUUAAAUGCCUUCUCUAACGAGGAACACUAAAUAUUG